UAGGGAAUCUUCCGCAAUGGACGCAAGUCUGAUGGAGCAACGCCGCGUGAGUGAAGAAGGUCUUCGGAUCGUAAAACUCUGUUGUUAGAGAAGAACACGAGUGAGAGUAACUGUUCAUUCGAUGACGGUAUCUAACCAGCAAGUCACGGCUAACUACGUGCCAG
Molecule: ribosomal RNA, 164 nt
Filed under: uncultured bacterium
Lineage: Bacteria
Description: partial 16S rRNA
Rfam family: Bacterial small subunit ribosomal RNA
Source: RNAcentral